UACGUAGGGGGCAAGCGUUGUCCGGAAUCAUUGGGCGUAAAGAGCGUGUAGGCGGCCCGAUAAGUCCGCUGUGAAAGUCCAGGGCUCAACCCUGGAAUGCCGGUGGAUACUGUCGGGCUCGAAUCCGGAAGAGGUGAGUGGAAUUCCUGGUGUAGCGGUGGAAUGCGCAGAUAUCAGGAGGAACACCAAUAGCGAAGGCAGCUCGCUGGGACGGUAUUGACGCUAAGGCGCGAAAGCGUGGGGAGCAAACAGG
Molecule: ribosomal RNA, 253 nt
Filed under: uncultured bacterium
Lineage: Bacteria
Description: partial 16S ribosomal RNA
Rfam family: Bacterial small subunit ribosomal RNA
Source: RNAcentral